ACUCCUACGGGAGGCAGCAGUGGGGAAUAUUGCACAAUGGGCGCAAGCCUGAUGCAGCCAUGCCGCGUGUGUGAAGAAGGCCUUCGGGUUGUAAAGCACUUUCAGUCGUGAGGAAGGUAGUGUAGUUAAUAGCUGCAUUAUUUGACGUUAGCGACAGAAGAAGCACCGGCUAACUCCGUGCCAGCAGCCGCGGUAAUACGGAGGGUGCGAGCGUUAAUCGGAAUUACUGGGCGUAAAGCGCAUGCAGGUGGUUUGUUAAGUCAGAUGUGAAAGCCCGGGGCUCAACCUCGGAAUUGCAUUUGAAACUGGCAGACUAGAGUACUGUAGAGGGGGGUAGAAUUUCAGGUGUAGCGGUGAAAUGCGUAGAGAUCUGAAGGAAUACCGGUGGCGAAGGCGGCCCCCCUGGGACAGAUACUGACACUCAGAUGCGAAAGCGUGGGGAGCAAACA
Molecule: ribosomal RNA, 449 nt
Filed under: uncultured bacterium
Lineage: Bacteria
Description: bacterial SSU rRNA
Rfam family: Bacterial small subunit ribosomal RNA
Source: RNAcentral